AUACUCAAUUAUCUUAGUUUUAACAUUGUCAGAAUGUAUCACCCUCUGAAACUUACAAAUAAACAAUAUAUGUACGGGACAGCUAAUCCAGAAAUGCAGUAUUUCAGAAUUACUCAUUUAGAAUACCCAAAUAGAUGAAGAUAAAGAUUACAUAUUUAUUUCAAACUUAAAGAACCAUCCACACAUAGAUUUUAUACAUUUAAAAUGAAUGACAGACAAUCCACAGAGAAAGGUAAAAUCAGAAAGCACAUGCAAGCAAGCAGAUUUUCCAAUUAAUAACACUGAAAUUAUAUACAUAUUUAAGUAUAUAUAUGCAUAUAUAUAUACACACACACACAAAGACAUAUGUAUAUAUGUAUAUAAUUGAGACUACAAUACCCCAACAUUUGGAAACGACCUCUAUUGUACUUCAAUGAAAUGUGGUUAAAGGGAAAAUCAUUUAAAUGUUUUCUAACAUUUUAAAAUACUAGAUGUUAUAUUCUUCCAUAUGUAUGUAACAGUAUUUGAGGUUUUCGGGGGGGGGGGGGGGGGGGGGAAGUUAUUACUGAGCCAACAAGAAUGUUAACAUACAUAUGUGAAAAGAUUUAAACUUUAUUGCCAAGUAUGAUGGGAAGAAUUCAUGUAUUUCUAGAUGCUAAACUGAGAGAAAAAUGAAUUGUACAGAAAAGCCUCAAACAUAGCCUCUUUUACACAAGAAUUAUUUUAUCUGUUAAGGGGUGAAAUUUCCAAGUGAAGUUUCUUUACAAUAUGAGAAAGAAUAUUUUUCAUUUCCUUAAGUAUAAACAGUGAAUAUAUUUUUUGUUAGAUUUUAAUAAUUAGACCUAACAUUUUAGUAAACAUAUAGAAAAUAGUAACAAAUUAACUCACUAUCAUAUUCACUAACACAUUUUUAACAGAGAGGAAUCAAUCUAAUUGUUUCAGAGAGCAAAUUCCUGGAGGGAUUAAGGCACAGGUUAAAAAAAUGAUGACUCCCUUGACCUUGCAUUGACUAUUCUCUAUACCUGGAAUACCCUGCCAUUUACCUUGGAAUCUUUUUACUUAGAUUCCUUAAAAAUUCAGCUCAAGUCCCAUAUUUUACAAGAGACCUUUCCUUAAUCCCCACAGCUGUUGGUGUUAUUUCUCAGAGAUUCACCUUUUUUUAUCCUAUAUGAUUCUGUAUGCACCUAGUUAUUUACUUUUUGACUUACUAUCCAGGAACUGUUUUGCCUUUCUUUGCUUGCUGAGUACUUCACUUAGUUUUAGCAUAUAGUAAGCUCUUAAUACUUGUUGAUUUAUUAAAAAAAAAAAAAAAAAAAAAAAAAAAACUAAACAAACCUACUGGGCUGAAAGGAACAACUUUUGACAAGAAAGUGAAACUUCAGCUAUAGGAACAUAUCUAAAUUCUUAUGCUGAGAUUUUUCUUUACUUGCUCACUCUUUUUCAAAUGUAAAAAUCUGUAAUACGAGGCUGGGCUUUUCAAGUUAUUUUAUUUUGGCAUAUGUCUCUUCUCCCCCAGCAAUGGUUAAUCAUCAUGAGACAGUUUUAACAUGUUAGAAACUGCUGCAUCAGCACAAAAAUUUCUUUUAUUUAUUCCUUUUGAUUUUUUUUCUGAAGGAUGCCUAUUAAUCUUUAACCAUGGUAUGUAGUUUUUGGUUUGCCAAUAAGAAACCUGAUGCCAUUUCUCUAGUUUUUAAGUUUAUGGUCCUUUUCUUCCAAUGACUGUUCACAUUUUUGGUAUUUUUACUUCUUUAAUAUGAAGAUACCUUUACUUUUGAGAAUUCCCAUAAAAUUUAAAAUUUACAGAGUUCAAUUUCUUUUUUCUUGUUUCAAUUUAGAUUUCUAAUAGAUAAAGGAGAAGAACUACCAUAUUUCCCUUAUAAUUCUUAAUAAUGACUUGGAUCUUUAGAACAGCACAAAGGUCCAUUUUGAUAAACCAUGGUCUGCCUAGACAAAAAAGUCUUUUCCUACCAAUAAAUUUUCAAUUAUAAUAUUCCAUAGACUGCAUGCUUUCAUAUUUGGAUCACGUCAUAGUUUGUCCAUGAAGAACAAUUGGUUUCAGAAUCCAGUUUUGGUAAUAUUUUAAGCAUUAUCUGCUCCAAGAAGCUUUUUCUGAUCUUUUUAAUUUUAAAGUGAUCAUCUCCUUCUCCAAUAUUCCUGGAGUACUUUGGCUCUUUUUUUUGAUCCUAUCAUAUUCUACCUUAAACUAUAUUUCUGAACAUAUUAUGUAACUUACCACAGAGCAAGUUGUAAGCUGUGUGGGUGGGAUUGUUUUAUUUUUUUAUCUUGGUAUCCCUAGGGUACACAGAAUGUACUUUAAUAAAUAAAUUAAUGCCUGUUGAAAGAGGGUAAUCCAGGCAAGUGUUGGCUUACAGCUUUAAAAAAAAAAAAUUCUGGAGUCAAAAUCAAUCAGUCUACAGACAAAUAAGAGUAUUAAUAAAAACCCAAAUCAAGUAUUCAUUGAUUAUAGUGAUGAGGCACCUAGAUGGGCACAAUGGAUAGAGCACCGAAUCUGGAGUCAAAAAGACCUGAAUUCAAAUUUGACUUCAGAAACAACUUAUUAGAUGAAUGAUCCUAUGCAAGUCAAUUUGAUGUGGGAAAGAUUCCAAUCUUUGAUUCCCAACCCCCCCUAGUUAAUGUAAAUUACCCUUUGACUCACAAAUCCUGGUCCCUUUAAACUCCAAUAGAAGAUUUGGACUUGUCCCAGCCCCACCCGGAUCUGAACCAACUUUGGGGCUACACCCAAAAGCUCCUCGAGCUAAGUCUCCUACUAUAAAAGGGCCACGCUGGGAACCCCUCUUUGCAGAGAUUCCAAACAUGCCAGCCAUGUGAGGACCCUCUGUCCACUGGACCCUCUGUCCAGUGCCCUCCUUAUCUCUACCUUCACCUAUCUCCUACUUCUAAACUCAAUAAUAAACCUCUUUUAUCAAUCUAGCUCUCCGGGCUAAUAAAUGCUUUUAUUGGGGACUUGCGCCGCUACUAGACCUCAUUUACCGCAGUAUCCUUGCGCCGAAUCCAAGGGGGUUGCAGGGGAACUCUGUUUGACUUCCUGUACCCCAAACCUACCACUAGACCUUAACUAAACCCUAAUUUCAUUUAGGUACCCCAAAUCUAGACCUCAACAUUUGGUCUACACCUCAACAAAUUAACCUUUGUCUGCUUCAGUUUCAUCAACUGUAAAAUGGAGAUAAUAAUAACAACUACCUCCCAGAAUUGCUAUGAGGAUUAAAUAGAAAUAUUUGUGAAGUGCUUAUUAGCACAGUGCACACAGUAGGUGCUUAAUAAGUG
Molecule: long non-coding RNA, 3264 nt
Filed under: Sarcophilus harrisii (Tasmanian devil)
Lineage: Eukaryota; Metazoa; Chordata; Mammalia; Dasyuromorphia; Dasyuridae
Description: lncRNA (ENSSHAG00000031777.1)
Source: RNAcentral